UCUUGGGUCAGUGAGAAUGAGAAGUCUUGGCUCGCUGUAUGAAGUCUGAAGCUGAUUGGUAAAGGUACCAGGGGUGUGACGGCCAGCAAUAGCAUGUGCACCAGUAUAUUGAGCAAAUUUCAAGACAGCUCUCUGUCCAUAAGGCCUGGCAGAUUGAACAAUGAUGUCCUGAGGAUUCUCAAUAGCAACAAUCACCCUGGCAGCCAUUUGAAGCUUUUCCCAUGUCUUUCCAAGGUUGAUGAUGUAGAUACCAUCGUUACGGCGCUUGAAAGCGUAUCGCUCCAUUUGGAAGUCACAAUUCUUAGUACCGAGGUGAACUUCAGCAGCCAACAUCAUCUGAAUGUCAGCUUCUUUAGUCGAAAGAGUCCUUACAUCUUGCGUCGCCAUGGUUGUGCUCUGCUUCUUCCCUUUCUGCUGCUAGGGUUUUUUUCGGCUUGCGGCAGAUCGAGAUUCUC
This 455-nucleotide unclassified non-coding RNA is filed under the name Hevea brasiliensis (rubber tree). The record is from RNAcentral. Lineage: Eukaryota; Viridiplantae; Streptophyta; Magnoliopsida; Malpighiales; Euphorbiaceae.